CGAUACUUGGUGUGAAUUGCAGAAUUCAGUGAAUCAUCGAAUCUUUGAACGCACCUUGCGCUCCUUGGUAUUCCGAGGAGCAUGCCUGUUUGAGUGUCAUGAUAUUCUCAACUUGCAAGUUCUUAAUGCGGGACUUUGCAUGGUUGGACUUGGAGGCUUGCUGGUGUUCAUGUAAACUCAGCUCCUCUCAAAUGCAUUAGCUUGGUUUCUAGCGGAUCGGCUGUCGGCGUGAUAAUUGUCUACGCUGCGACCGUGAAGUGUUAUGGCAAGCUUAUAGCCGUCUCUAGCAGGGACAUCUAUGAUUGACCUCUGACCUCAAAUCAGGUAGGACUACCCGCUGAACUUAAGCAUAUCAAUAAGCGGAG
This 365-nucleotide ribosomal RNA is filed under the name Ganoderma sp. BAB-3676. Its description in RNAcentral is "eukaryotic LSU rRNA". The stretch from base 1 to 99 matches the Rfam family "5.8S ribosomal RNA", at positions 56 to 154 of the family's 154-position model. Lineage: Eukaryota; Fungi; Basidiomycota; Agaricomycetes; Polyporales; Polyporaceae. The record is from RNAcentral.